AACGAACGCUGGCGGCGUGCUUAACACAUGCAAGUCGAGCGGGAAAACGGGUAGCAAUACCUGUGAGUAGAGCGGCGCACGGGUGAGUAACACGUGAGUAAUGUUCCCUGGGGUUUGGGAUAACAGUGCGAAAGCGCUGCUAAUACCGAAUAAGCUCACGGCGUCUAUGGGCGCAGUGAGAAAAGUGGGCCUCUGACACAAGCUCAUGCCACGGGACCGGCUCGCGUCCCAUUAGCUAGUUGGUGAGGUAACGGCCCACCAAGGCGACGAUGGGUAGCUGGUCUGAGAGGAUGAUCAGCCACACUGGAACUGAGACACGGUCCAGACUCCUACGGGAGGCUG
This 342-nucleotide ribosomal RNA is filed under the name uncultured Pseudomonadota bacterium. RNAcentral describes it as "bacterial SSU rRNA". It matches the Rfam family "Bacterial small subunit ribosomal RNA", at positions 29 to 351 of the family's 1533-position model. Lineage: Bacteria; Pseudomonadati; Pseudomonadota. The record is from RNAcentral.